Molecule: small RNA, 117 nt
Filed under: Sinorhizobium meliloti 2011
Lineage: Bacteria; Pseudomonadati; Pseudomonadota; Alphaproteobacteria; Hyphomicrobiales; Rhizobiaceae
Description: putative ncRNA
Source: RNAcentral
AGCGGCAAGUCUAUCGGGGCGAAAACCGCUAUCUUCGGCUGACGCGCCAGAUGACAUUGCCGACAUCGUCGGCGACGAGCAGGGCGCCGCGCCUGUCGAUCGCAACGCCGACCGGCC